UGGUCGGUCGUCGGAGGAUGACGCUUCAUCGUUUCAAAGUUACGAACCUGCGUGAGCUGUUCAGUCGCCGCCUCGGUGGCCAAUCUCGCUAGGCCCUCCUCGUACCUCUCGAGGGCUGUGAGCCUGAGAAGAUAAUGUCGACCUAGAAAUUGAUUCGUAAAGCAGCAAAAAAAAACUCGUUAUCUUCGAAAAGAAUAGGAGAGGUAAGAUGAACGAUGAAAGAAGAGGGGAGAGGUCGAGGUGAGAUGCGACGAGACGAUAACGCACGGUACCAGUCGUGUUCUUGGCGGUGCGGUAGGCAUAUCUAAGAGAAAAAAGAAGAAAGAAGAAGAAUAAUAGAGAAAACGAGAACUCACCUUGCCGCCUUCUCCAUUCAGAUUUUGCUGAUGUUCGCAAAGGGCGCAAACCUCACCCAAUAGCUCGUGCGGUUUGAUGAAGAGCCUUGCACUUAGCAAAAAGGCAAAGAGGUAAGCACGAUCGGGAUAAUAUUCCUCGGUUGGUACCAUGUGCUGCACUAAUGCUUCCAAGGAUCCAGAAACUAAGUUUCCGUCUCGGUACACUAGAGCCUGAAACAAGAGAACCGACAUUCUUGAGUACGUGAAACAAGAUACCUCCGAAUAUGUCACCAUUUGUUUUUCCACCCUAAAUGCAAAUGCAAGAUAUCUACUUACUUCCAAACGUGUUGCUUCAGGAUUACAAAGUUUCUUGUCAACCACCCUGUUGAAGGUUUUAUGGUAUUUAUUGUACGAAUAUAAACGGAAACUUUGUAAUCCUAAGAUAGGAAGGGAUGACCCUUUGGGUCUUACAAACGGAAGAAGUUGAUGUUAUGAGAGUGAACAUUUCGCCAGACUUCGUAAGCGUUAAAUGCAACGAAAAGUUUGAGGUUAUGUUAGGUAUAUGUUAUUUUUAAAUGAAUCAAACUUUUACGAUGAUCAAAUAAAAUAACAUUCUACUACUAAUUGAAUUGGAUCUGUUGAGUUUUGGGAAGGAGAGAGGGGGAGGGGAAGAGAGAGAGAGAGAGAGAGAGAGAGAGAGAAACAAAAAGAGAAAAAGAGGGUGAGAAAUGAAGAGAAAAUAGAAACAAAAGUAUUUCCACGAAUCGCCGUGGCAAUAGAGUCAGAGAUCCCUUUUUGAGGUUUCCACAAAUGUUAGUAUAGUAUUGAGAUACGUCGUUCUAAAGUUACUACCAAGCCGCAGUCUGUUAAAUCUGUGCGCUAUUAAAGUUACGCCCAUCACUAUGCCGCUAAGCCCUGAACAUCUCUAUCGAGGAUUCAAAUGGCUUAAACUUAGCACGGGUUAAUAUACCAUCGACGAUGAAACAUUUGCAACGAAAACUUGCAAACCAUCGAGGAACUUGCGACGUAACCAGACCGACCAUGUUACUACGAGCGAAAGUUUCGUUGAAAAUUCGUUUCAACGAAGUUUUAACGUAAGAAUCGCGAGAUUAUCAACGAGAAGGAAAAAGUCGAUUUGUUCUUUCUCACCGGGGAGCAGUUCCGACGGUCUUUCAGCGUCCUUUACGAACGUUUUGCUCGAGACUAUUGUAUUUCAAAGAACGAGGAAGUACGUCGAGAAAUAAAAAGGGCUAUUUUGUUCGAGUCGAGCCAAGCGGAGUCUGUCGUUCAUGAGAAGCUUUGGAUGGAUUUUCUGAAAGACUGCACCGUCGCGAAUAUCCUGAUGAUCAGCACCAGCACCAUUGACCAUGCCAGAACCAGGAACGCCACUACCUCCUCCACCUUUUCCACCGACACCACCGGCUGGAGUUUGCGAUUCCAUAUGGAAGAAAACAAGUCAUUGGAGACACACCAGCGAGAAGGUCGAAGUUAACGGAGAAGAGAAGCAACAGCGAGAAACAGAGACCUGGAACGGCAUUCAAGAGCGAGGAGUGGAUAGAAUGGUUGACCUCUGUGGACGACGGAGCCGUCAUGCGAGUCAUUAACAUAACAAACGCAUAAUAAUAGCUUGUAGGCAUUACUGUUACCGCUACGUUGACUCUCGGGACGCUAGAGAAUCAAGUCGCUUGCACGUAUCUACGUAUUUAUGGAAACGGAUCGGUCGCGUCAGCCGAACCAUUGUCGUACGGAUUCUCGAUCAUCCUGGACAAGGACGACGGCAGUCGCCAUCGUCGUUCGGCAAGGAACAAAGACGUGAAUUCGAAUAGCAAAACCAAGCUCGCUUCGUAUCCUCGACCAACCGGAAGAAGGAGGGGUACCACUGCUGCAUUCAAGCGAAAGACAAUCGACCGACUAAAUCCUGGCUUACCAAAACCCGUUCUGCAAGUUCGCGUGAUUGAAUCAAACUGAUUCGAAUCGGAUCUCGGGACCUCAUUUCACUAUGACUUUUCCUUCCUCGAUUGGCCUUUUUUUUCUCACAAGAAAAACUGGAAAACAAUUCUUCGAUGGUAUAUUUAAAGCAAACUUUAAAUCACCGAUGCAAUUAGUUUUCAUCGAUGCCGUCCUUCCAAUCGUUUCAAACUUUAUCUCAAUUUCCGCGAUAUUUAAAUGCUCAAAUCCUGAAAUAAUAAAUGAACCUCAUUCGAAUAAAAAAUCGAUUCUAUUUGUAAUC
Vespa mandarinia (Asian giant hornet) is the source of this 2565-nucleotide unclassified non-coding RNA. The record is from RefSeq and is a predicted model, not a curated record. NCBI's taxonomy places the organism in Eukaryota, Metazoa, Arthropoda, Insecta, Hymenoptera, Vespidae.